GGGUUAGGACCAAAUGGGCGAAGGCGACUUUCUGGUCUGUAACUGACACUGAGGCGCGAAAGCGUGGGGAGCAAACAGGAUUACAAACCCUGGUAGUCCACGCCGUAAACGAUGAGUGCUAAGUGUUAGAGGGUUUCCGCCCUUUAGUGCUGAAGUUAACGCAUUAAGCACUCCGCCUGGGGAGUACGGCCGCAAGGCUGAAACUCAAAGGAAUUGACGGGGGCCCGCACAAGCGGUGGAGCAUGUGGUUUAAUUCGAAGCAACGCGAAGAACCUUACCAGGUCUUGACAUCCUCUGACAACCCUAGAGAUAGGGCUUCUCCUUCGGGAGCAGAGUGACAGGUGGUGCAUGGUUGUCGUCAGCUCGUGUCGUGAGAUGUUGGGUUAAGUCCCGCAACGAGCGCAACCCUUGAUCUUAGUUGCCAUCAUUUAGUUGGGCACUCUAAGGUGACUGCCGGUGACAAACCGGAGGAAGGUGGGGAUGACGUCAAAUCAUCAUGCCCCUUAUGACCUGGGCUACACACGUGCUACAAUGGACGGUACAAAGAGCUGCAAGACCGCGAGGUGGAGCUAAAUCUCAUAAAACCGUUCUCAGUUUCGGAUUGUAGGCUGCACCUCCCCCUACAUGAAACUUGGAAUCGCUUAGUAAUCGCGGAAUCACCAUGCCCGCGGUGAAAUACGUUU
This 683-nucleotide ribosomal RNA is filed under the name uncultured Bacillus sp. RNAcentral's name for it is "bacterial SSU rRNA". It matches the Rfam family "Bacterial small subunit ribosomal RNA", at positions 698 to 1373 of the family's 1533-position model. The record is from RNAcentral. Lineage: Bacteria; Bacillati; Bacillota; Bacilli; Caryophanales; Bacillaceae.